UACUACUCCUUUUCUCCCAUUCGGGUCAAUCCCCCAAUUGUCCUCUCCUUUCCUAGCGCGAUCCCCUUUCUCCCUCCGUCCCCACGCCGACGCCGCCUCCUCCCCGACGACCUCGCCGGCCACGACGCCGUAGUCCUCUACCGCACCACCUUCCCUGCUCCCCCAGACCCGCGCCGCCCCGUGCCUCCGCGAAACCCUAGCAGAGCUAGCGGCUGCUAGUCCGGCGUCGAAGACCAGCCGCCGGGUGCUGCCCUCGCUCGAUCUCCUUCACGUCGUCCGCAUCAAGCUCGCCAGCCUCGGCGUUGGGAACCCGCCUUCGUUCCGCUGCUGCCUGGCCGCCGCGAUGGGCUUCUGUGCCUCGCCCCAAGCUGCGACGCCGUGUGCCGCUGCAGACGUUCCAGGGCCGCCGUGUGCUGCUCUUCCUCGCCCCUCGCCUCCGCUCCAAGAUCGAGGAACUGCUCUUCCUGGCCGCUCGCCUCCGCUCCAUCCUGGCCGCCUCGGCAUCCGCCUCCAGCCCAAAGAGGAACCUUGAAGAAAAUAAACUAGCAACUUAGGGAACAGAUAUUCCUUAGGAUCUUGUUCCCGACGGAAGUUGCUUCAGGAAUCCCUAAAGAAGGAGAGCCAGCUAAGAUGCGGAACAGCUGCGGCCAGCGUUGAUGUGUUCGUGUUCGAAGACCUAAUGGCGGCAGAGUGGAAGCGGUUGACGGAGGGAGCAGCGGACGGUGAGGGAGCGGCGGCGGACGAAAAGAGAGCUGCGGUGGCGGACGCCCUCUCCGAGGAGCGGUGGCGCGCGGUCGUCCGGACGGGAAGAUGUUGUCUUGAAUCAGACGUAUUUUGGAACGUUGUAAAAUUGAGCAGAGUAUCUGUACAACGUGGCUCUAGCUGGCCCCACCCUUAUAAUAUUGCUUAAUUAAUGUAAUAGCAACUAUAUGGUGAAUGUGGACGUUCUGGUGACUAGUUUUUUUUUAA
Long non-coding RNA from Lolium perenne, 969 nucleotides. RefSeq lists it as uncharacterized. Lineage: Eukaryota; Viridiplantae; Streptophyta; Magnoliopsida; Poales; Poaceae. The record is from RefSeq and is a predicted model, not a curated record.